This 35542-nucleotide long non-coding RNA is filed under the name Citrus sinensis (sweet orange). Its description in RNAcentral is "long non-coding RNA (CSIN_LNC002596)". Lineage: Eukaryota; Viridiplantae; Streptophyta; Magnoliopsida; Sapindales; Rutaceae. The record is from RNAcentral.
AAAAAAAAAAAAAAAACCUGCAUUUACACCCAGCUAUUCAGAAUAUGGUGUUCCCCCAAAAUAUUUGGACAGCAGAAACCAACGACUGCCUAGAAUCUGCCUCCUUAUCACAUCUGCACUUCCUAACCAAAGGAGGGAGAUACAUUACGAUUUACCCUAGUGAAAAAAACCCAUUGAGGGGGAGCCUGAUCACCUAUCACUAAUGACCAUGAUACCCUUUUCUAGACAGACAGCUCCACUGCUAGCUAAGCAGGCUCUAGAAAAAAUCUGCCACAUGAGCACACGAUAAUCACACAGAAUAAGCUUCAAGUGAAUUACCUUGAAACUUUUUGACAGAACAAAAAUAAGGUUUCAAUCACUGUCAACUUCCAUUAGUGGGCCAAAUCUUAUACGUGUCUUAAUUGACAAAUUUAUUUGUGAACCAUUUCCUGCCAUAGAAAAUGCCUACACUAUAUACAGCACACAGCUCCUCACAUCCAGUAAGCUAGUUUGAGAAAAUAAAAACUUAGAAAAGUUCUCUAUACUCGACUCAUGCAGGAUGAUACAAUCUUGAGCAAACUGACCAGAUUUAGACAGAACUGUAAUACUCAUGCAAAAGAUCUCCAGAUUUUAAAGAACACGCUUGAGCCCGCACGAACAACAUUAAGGAAAUGUAAUAGUGUAGAGACACCACACAGAGAAAAAAAAAUAAUAAUAAUGUAACACAAUUGUCAUGUUGAAAAUAUUUAGGAUAUUUGCUCUUACAAAGUAGCCACAGAAAGCUAGCAUUUUUAGAAUGUAUUGGUGGGAUUAUGAUAGGAUAUCAAUGGCAAUACAGUAGGAAUUUCAUGAAGCUAUAUUACAUCUAUUACUCUUGUCAUCAAUUACCCUUGAAUAUAGGAAUAUCAUGUUUGUAGGUAAAGAAAACUAACAAAUAAUUACGAUAGAUGAUACAGCAGCAUAUACCUCUGCAAAGUUCCUCUGGUCUGCAGUAAGACGUUUAGUGGAUAAUUCCUUUAAGGUUCGGAAUAGGAUCAUAAAAAUCCUGUGGGAAGUAAGAACAUCUGCUGCUUGAAGCUGCUGUGCUAAAACAGAAAAGAGCUGCGGCCUAAACAAAUCAUUACAUAUUUUUUAUCAAUACAUAAAAUUACCCCAAUGAAAUACUUGAAAAAAGGGACUCUAUGUAUAGCAAUCAAUUAAAACAACAUGAUUUACCGCUCAUUAGGAAAAAAAAGUUCAAAUUUUAAUGCACAGUUCAUUUUCAGUUCAUGUUCUUUUUUUGGUAAUAUAAACAUAAGCCACUAUAAAUCAUCAUUAAAGCAGAUAAGAGCAAAAAGCAUACCAUUCUCUUGGAUAAUCAAAGCGAGCAAUUUUGGAAAUCAGCACAGCUAGCAUUUGAGCUACCUACGAAGAAACAUAUUCGUAAUAACAAAAUUAGCAAACACAGUAUCCAAACUAAAAAAAUCCAACCAAAUCAUAUGACGUGGAGACCUACUAUGCGUGAAUAACAAAAGCUGGUGAAAAGCCGACAAAUGAUUAUAGAAUGAAAUAUAAGACUUAAACGACACCUGGUUGUUUUCUUCUCUCAAGUGAGACAACAAUUUUUGUCUUAAAUGUACUUUCUCCUCAUUGCUUAUUCCCCUGAAAAGAAAUUCUUACAUUACAUUUUACACUAUAAUCAAUAAAAAUACAUCUCUUGUGCCAGCAGAGUCGCACAAAUUCUUACAAAUGAACCUUACAAAAAGUAUAAAAUGAUCGAUAGCUUACACAGAAUCGCGCCUAUUCCUCCAAUAACGGUUGAUACUAUUUUUGAAAUACACUGAAGCCAUCAAUCGUACAUCCACUUGAGAAGCUAAAUCCUUGGCAGUAAUCACUUCCUGCAUUUUAAUUUAAUUCAUUUCAAAAGUUGCUAAGCUUCACAAGAAACUAGAAUAAAAGAACCAAACUAAACUAAAACCCUAAAAAUGAAGGAGUCGGAGCACAGACCAUGAGACAAGAGCAGAAACCAGGUCUACUUUCCGACUGAGAAAGCGCCGCCUCAGCCGGUUUGCGAAUGCUUUCAUCGCGGCUCAUUGAAUUAGCGAGCAGCGUGUAUAUCGCAGGUAAAUCCGAAGCUGAGAGCGCCAUAGCUGUUGUUAAUCAAAGGCUCCUUUACUCACAGUCAGGGAGUAGUACAGAGAAGUACACUUGGACCGAGUUAGUGAGUUGGAUCGGACGAGUUUUUUUACUAAUGAGAAUGAUAUUUAUUAUUAUUAUUUUUUUUUUUUUUCCUUUGUGUGAUAAGAGAUUACAUGAAUCUUGAGGCUUUGUUAUUGUGAGAGUUUGUUAUGAUUGCGAUUUACCUGAAGGAAUAAAAUGAAAAAAAAUGAAAAUGGAAUAGAAGAUGGUCUUUGCUUGAGGUUUUGUCUGCCGUUAUUUAUACAUGGUGGUGUUCCUACACUAGCUUGGGAAGUGUCCCGGGGACUAUCUUGCAUGCGAAGAUAAGUAGGUUCUUUACCGUGCGCGCGCGAUCGAAUGGUAUCAAUUUUUUAUACGACUUAUGACCUUUCAAUGGUAUCCGUCCGAUGAUCAUUGUCUUUCUGUGAUGUUGACAUUUCGACAUUGAAAGUUGACCGAGAUUCCAACCAAAUCCUCGCUGCUCUUUAAGUCUUACCAAUCUCGGCCAAAGGCGCCAGCUGACAUACCGAUAGAUUUUACCAAUAAUGCUUGGGCGAGGGUGGUACUUUUCAUACGGAGAUUAUUAUGUUACGUAAUCAUAUAACAUAUAUGGUUAUAUAGUAACUAUUUGAUAAAAAUUUAAUAAUUAUAUAAAUAUAAAAUAAUAAAAUUAUAUUAUUUUCACAAACGUUGGAUGAAAUUCAACGGUUGUUACAUAAUCAUGUAACAUGUAACAUAACAAAAACUUUUUUAUAUUUUAUUUUUAUUUUUGGAAUUGUGUUUUUGAAUUUAUUGUUUUAAAAUGAAUAUUAGUUGUUUUGAUUUUUAUUUUGUGGAUUAAAAAAUGCAUUUAGUAGCAUGUUUGGAAAUCCAUAAUAUGAAAAUAAAAGUAAUAAAAAGGUAGAAUUGUUUGUGACAAUUGUUAUCAAUAAAUUGCAUUUUAUACGACAUUUUCUUACAAUUAAAUUUAUUUAAUUAUUGUAAAUCACUAUUUAAAGCAUAAUUAUUUUUAAAAAAUAAAAACAAAUUGUAUGUGUGUCAUUUCUAAGUUUCUAGAAAACAGUCUUUUAGUAUUUCAGUUUUCUUUUUAUGAAAUAUCUCAACCAAACAAAGUCUUUUUGUUGUUUUUAAUUUAUAAAAAAUAAAAAAUAACAAAUUUAAGGAAAGUUUUCUUUUUAUGAAAUAUCUCAACCAAACAAAGUUUUUUGUUGUUUUUAAUUUAUAAAAAAAUAGAAAAUAACAGAUCUGAGGAAAGAAAUGGAUAACGGCAUCUAAAUAUAACUUUUAACUCUUAAAGUCGAACUCAAGUGGAUAACCAAACAAAAAUGCUAAAAAUCACUUAGUCACGCCUCUUUGAGCCAAAUUUAAAAAAUAAAUUAAUCACCUUUAAAAGAUGAUCCAAAUAACUUGUUAAAUUUUUCAUUUUCAUUUCAAUUAAAUGUGUGAUAAAGUGGAUGGUAUUUUAAAUUGAAGGUCGUGUUAUGUUAAAUCAGUGUAAAUAAUAUACUUGGCCAACAUGAAUUGGACCUAUUCAUUAGGUGUCAUGAGUUUGCACACUAAUCAUACACAAAGACGGCUUGUUUAACUAAUUUACCUUGUACAGAUUUUUAAACCUACUUAACACAUGAUGUACAAACAAAUUCAUGUCAUAAACGAAUUAACAUGAUAACAGAUUAAGAUUACUUAAAAAGCUAUUUGGUAUUAUUCAAUCGAGACAUUGAUUUAUGUUUCAAUCAUAAAUCCAAGUUACAUGCUCAUGAUUCUUGGUCAUACAAAUAACAGAUUGUUGAUAACAUUUAAGAGUUUUUUUUCUUCUUUUUUUCAUGUACUAAUAUUAGAGAUUCCAACAUUUAAGUUUCAAUUUAAUAUGUAUUUAAGAUUUUUUCCUCUUUUUUUCUGUGUAAUAAUAUUAGGAAUCUUCGUGUUUAAGUCCCAACUUGAGCUCAAUAUUAUUUGUACUAAUUUAUUAAAUUAAUUUAUUAAAUGAUAUAUUUUAUAACUUAUAAAAUUACUUAAUUAUCAUCUAAUAAAUGAAUAACACAUCAGUUAAGAAUUAAAUUAGAACUUAAAUAUUAAAAUGUCUAACAUUUCUUUUUUUUUUUUUAUGAUGAAUGUUUACAUGCUUAGUUAGAGAUUUAUCGUGAUUUUAAAUUCAUACUUCGAUAGCAUUACUCAUGAUAUAUGUAUGUAUGUGUAUGUAUUGUGAUUUUAAGAAAUUUUGCAACAAUUAAAUGUGAGAUACACUCUCACUCUAUUAAAGAUAAUUUGCCCCAUCUUUUGCUUGAUAGAGUUCAUUCAAGUGAGAAAGCCCACUUAAAAAUGAUUUUCACAUGCCAUUAGGAAUAUAUUCUCUUAGAAGAACCUCUUCUGGUAAAAUAAAAAUAUAAUUUUUUUAAUAUAUGUUUUAAUGAUUAUUUGAUUAAGCAAAAAUAAAAAAUUCAAAUUAUUAAACUGUGAAUUACUAGGAGAAAACUAUGGUGCAACAAUGGUACCAUACCACCGUUGUACCUAGCCGUUGGAUUCUAAUGAAUUCAUUCAUUCAAGUGGAUCCAACAGCUGAAUGCAACGGUGGCAUGGUACCACCGUUGCACCGUAACCGGACCCAAAUUACUAACUGUCAUGAUAUUUGUGUGAAAUAUUAGAUUAUUAUUAUUUAUUUAUUUUAUUAGAGAAGGUGAAAUAUUGGAAUUUCGCUGUCAUAAAACAAAGCUCAAUCCAACGGCCACAUGCGGAACGUUCAUUUGGGGCAUAUUCAUACAUUUAAAGCCUCCUUUUGUUAGUCUAUAUAUUUGUGUAACAAAUUGUCUCUCAACUGUAGUAAAUAAAAGCUUGUAAAAACUUUGUUCGUACUUUAAGUACUUUUCUUCUGUAGGUUUUUUUUAUAACCAAUAACUUCAAUUUAAGGUAAAGCAUUUGAAUUGUUAUAGUAAAAAAUGAUAUAAUGAGUAAAUUUACCUAUUAUCUUGUGAACAAUUGCACGCGUGAUGUCAUUGUAUAGUAUAUUUCAAGUGCUAUUAAAAAUAUGGUUUUACAAGAUAUUAUCACAUGAUAGAAUUGUGAUAACAUGAGCAGUGUCUCGUAUUAUACUGUUAUUAUAACAAUAAUAAUAGAGAUUUUAAUAUUUGAGUUUCAACUCAAGUUCUGAUAUUAUGUGUCACUCAUUUAUUUAGUGAUAAAUUUAAACUUGUUUAUUAUUUUAUUUUACUAUUUAUUACUCAGUACUCAAAAGUUGCCUUUGCCAGUGGCAGUAGUAAUUUGCAUUUAGUAAAAUAAAUAUAUUAAUUUUCAUUGAUCUAAAAUUAUUCUUGAUUAUCUCAAAAAAUACCAGUAGUGUCCUCCUGAUUUGAUGCAUGGAGGAGGAGUGCAACCCUAUAAAAUGGAGGAGUCCAACCCCAUAAAAUGACUUUCUUAAAUAGAAUAAUGGUGAUGACGGAAAAAACUAAUCUUCAAUUUAUUUUUAUUUUUAAAACGUUAGUGUUUGUGAGUUUUGUAAAAAGAAAAUCUGAAGAAGUUGUUGGUAUUAAUUACUGUAAAAGAAUUUUAUUUAUUAAAAAUAUAUUUUUGACAUUAAGUGGAGUGUAAAAUGUAAAAAAAAAAGUUUUAACAGGAUUUGGGAGAGGUGACAGGUGACAUCAGUCCAACUCUGAAUAAAAUGACGUAAAAAGUGGGCCAGCUAGAGGAGAAAACACGGAAGAGCUUUGGGCCAUAUGUAGUCCAAUUCAUAGCCCAAAAUGAAUUGGAUCAACAAAGGCAAGAACGUGUAAAGCAGACAGGUGGGCGGCGAUGAUUUCCCAGAAUUGUACACAUAAAAUCUAGGGGUGGGCACGGUUCGGUUCGAUUCAGUUCGGUUCAAAAUUAAGUAGAACCGAUUUAAAUCGGUUAUUUUAUAAAAAUAACUGCAUAAGAACCGAACUAAAAAAGAACCGAACUCAAACGGUUCUUUUCGGUUCGGUUUGGUUUUUUCGGUUCUGGACCUAUUGGGCCUAUUUUGAAUUUUCAAAUUUUUAACCCAUUAAACUUCAUAAAUGUAAUAAUUUUUUUCAACAAGUUCAUCCUAAUUUCAUUAUAAAUAUUAACAAUAAAUACAAAGUAUUCAAAACACAUUUUAUCAAUAAUAUCUUAUUAACUAUUAAUAAAUAAUUAAAUAAACAAUCUAUAUAAUAAGAUGCUAGUUUUAAAAAAAAUAAAGAAAACUUACUGGUAAGCAACAUCAAUCAACUAUCAUUUACUCUUCAGCUACUUGCUGUUGUUCUUAAGAUUGCAUUGGCCUCAAAAAUUCUUCAAGAAAUUGAAAUUUACAAAAUUUAUGAAAUUGUUUUAUAUUUGAUUUUAGGAUUUAUUUUGGGAAAUAAAAAUUUACGAAAUUGUAACACUAACAUAUAUAUAUAUACUCUGAUUGUGUGUAUGCAAGUUUAUGUUAGUUAUCUUAUAUAAUUAGUUAAAAAUUAACACAUAUUUAAUUUAAUAAAAUUUAGUAGUGUCCUCCUGAUUUGAUGCAUGGAGGAGGAGUGCAACCCUAUAAAAUGGAGGAGUCCAACCCCAUAAAAUGACUUUCUUAAAUAGAAUAAUGGUGAUGACGGAAAAAACUAAUCUUCAAUUUAUUUUUAUUUUUAAAACGUUAGUGUUUGUGAGUUUUGUAAAAAGAAAAUCUGAAGAAGUUGUUGGUAUUAAUUACUGUAAAAGAAUUUUAUUUAUUAAAAAUAUAUUUUUGACAUUAAGUGGAGUGUAAAAUGUAAAAAAAAAAGUUUUAACAGGAUUUGGGAGAGGUGACAGGUGACAUCAGUCCAACUCUGAAUAAAAUGACGUAAAAAGUGGGCCAGCUAGAGGAGAAAACACGGAAGAGCUUUGGGCCAUAUGUAGUCCAAUUCAUAGCCCAAAAUGAAUUGGAUCAACAAAGGCAAGAACGUGUAAAGCAGACAGGUGGGCGGCGAUGAUUUCCCAGAAUUGUACACAUAAAAUCUAGGGGUGGGCACGGUUCGGUUCGAUUCAGUUCGGUUCAAAAUUAAGUAGAACCGAUUUAAAUCGGUUAUUUUAUAAAAAUAACUGCAUAAGAACCGAACUAAAAAAGAACCGAACUCAAACGGUUCUUUUCGGUUCGGUUUGGUUUUUUCGGUUCUGGACCUAUUGGGCCUAUUUUGAAUUUUCAAAUUUUUAACCCAUUAAACUUCAUAAAUGUAAUAAUUUUUUUCAACAAGUUCAUCCUAAUUUCAUUAUAAAUAUUAACAAUAAAUACAAAGUAUUCAAAACACAUUUUAUCAAUAAUAUCUUAUUAACUAUUAAUAAAUAAUUAAAUAAACAAUCUAUAUAAUAAGAUGCUAGUUUUAAAAAAAAUAAAGAAAACUUACUGGUAAGCAACAUCAAUCAACUAUCAUUUACUCUUCAGCUACUUGCUGUUGUUCUUAAGAUUGCAUUGGCCUCAAAAAUUCUUCAAGAAAUUGAAAUUUACAAAAUUUAUGAAAUUGUUUUAUAUUUGAUUUUAGGAUUUAUUUUGGGAAAUAAAAAUUUACGAAAUUGUAACACUAACAUAUAUAUAUAUACUCUGAUUGUGUGUAUGCAAGUUUAUGUUAGUUAUCUUAUAUAAUUAGUUAAAAAUUAACACAUAUUUAAUUUAAUAAAAUUUAAAAAUAAUUCGAUUUUUCGGUUCGGUUUUUCGGUUAAGUUAAAUGAACCGAAUACCGAACCGACAUUUCAAUUUUUUUAUAAAUUAUACCGUUCAGUUUUUUUAAAAAAAAAUCGUACCGAAUUAAAAAAAAUCGUCGGUUCGGUCGGUUCGAUUUUUUUAAGACUACAAUUUUUUUCCCACCCCUAAUAAAAUCUGUUUGCUAAAAUCCUAUUGGUCGGUGUGCGUGGGAUAUCCUGAUGGUUCCACGUCACCCAACGGGAUGUAGAUCCAGAAGUAUCUGGACUUUCUCGCCCUGGGAACCUAUAAAAACAGCCUCUCUUUGAUUUCAAAUCUACCCCGUCGCUAUUGUUAUUAAUUGUGAUCUUUUUCAUAACGCACUUCACUCCGUUCAAUAAUAAACCUCUAAAAUCUGUAGUGAGAUGCAAGGUGCAAAAAUGAAGGUUCGUUUCGCACUAUCGAUUUUUCUGUUUUCAACGCUUUUGAUCUUCAACGCGAAAGCCAAAACCGUCGAUCCGUACAAGGUAAUUAUUUUUUUUUUUUCUUUUUUUUUCCACUUGCUUUUUUUGCCUUUGGCUGUUUAAGUUUCUUUAAUGCGCAUAAUUGUCCAGUUUUAAUGUUUUUAUGAUAUGAUUUUUUUUUUUUAUAAUUUUGGUGGCAGUUUGUUUUCACAAUGCAUUACUGUAUAUAUGAUUUUCAUAACAACAGUUCCUCAGUUUUGAGAGAAAAAUUGCAAAUUUGAUGAUCUGGUUGAAAGCUAAGCUCAGUGGAAUUUGUUGUUAUUUAAUAUUUGCUUUAGAAAAAUCACAAAUUGUUUUCAUUGGAGCUAAUGUCGGCUGUUGAUGUUAAGUGACUUGGUGCUGUGAAAAUUUGGCUGAAACAACAUGAAAUUGUCACAUAAUUGGCAGUUAAUUGUCAUCUCUAGCUCUAAAUUGAACUGGAGAAUAGUUGUAUGGAAAUUUAAUUCAAAAUCAAUGAACAAAUAUUUUCUCUGUUGUUUUCUGUUCAAGAGGAUGGCAUUAUUUAGUUUAACUUUCAUUUAAUCGGAUAGCUUACUUACGAAUAAGAUUCAUUAUUUAGUUUAACUCUCAUUUCAUCGGAUAGCUUACUUACGAAUAAGAUUCAUUAUCAGGUUCUUGGUGUUGAGCGGAAUGCGAGCCAGCGUGAGAUUCAAAAAGCUUUCCACAAGUAUGUUAUUAUUAUGUCCCUAAUUCAUUGAAUUAUUCGAUCAUUUUGCAUUCCUUGUGUCUCACUUUCUGUCAUGGCAUAAGAGAAACUUAAAGGAUCCUACUUGAUAUAUAGAGUUUAUGAUUGAUAAUGUGAUUAGAAUUAGCAAUGGAUGAGAUUGAGCUAUCAAAUUAUUGCUUUAUUUAAAUCUGGGAGACCUGAUGAAGAGUAGGCCACAUGAUACUGACCAAUUGUGGUACUCAAGAAUGGCUUGAUUUUCUGUUAAUAGCAGGGCAGUGCUGCUAUGUGGUUGUGAGCAGUAUACACUUCUUGUGUAUGCUUAUGGUUGUAUAUUUGUAAUGAUAUAGUAUUGAUAUUUUUUAUCUGUUUUUCUAUUUAAACUUUUUUGACCUAUAAUUGGCAUUGUUAAACUAAUAAAUACAGAUUUGACAAUUUACAUUGUAGUUGGUAACUUUGCCAUAUUGAAUGAAGUGCAUUUGACUCAUUUUGGUGCUGGUGAAUUACUUUAAUUUUUCAUGUUUGUUCUAUAUUGAUUUCUAAAUAAUUUGUAAUUCCGGUCGAUUAAUGGGAUUGUGUUAGAUUCUUAACGUUGUUGAAUUCCUAUGUAGAUAAACCUAUCUUUAGUUGCAAUCAUGAUAUAACACAAUAUAGUAAACACAUAUGAAAACACCUCAGAAAAUUGCUUUGCUAUCUUGUUACUAAUGGUUUCUUUGAAUCUCUCUUGUAGGCUCUCUCUUCAAUAUCACCCGGACAAGAACAAAAAUAAGGCCGCUCAGGAGAAGUUCGCUGAGAUUAAUAAUGGUAAAAAAAAUAAAAAGCACUUCUUUUUUUGUUUGUUUUAAGAUGCAGGCUUCUUAGUAUUCAAAUUCAUGAAGUUGAAUCGACAAACUUUCAACCAUCAGAUAGAUGAAUGAUUUAUUGUGAUUUUUUUAACCUUUGUUCUUGUUUUCAAACUGUUCACUGUAAACAAUGUUGAUUUAUGUCUUCUUGUUUCAUCAGCAUAUGAUAUUUUAUCUGAUGAAGAGAAGAGGAAAAAAUAUGAUUUGUAUGGGGAUGAGAAGGGCAGUCCUGGAUUUGAUGCUGGGCAUCCUGGGAAUCAAGGUGGGUAUACAUACUUCACAAGUGGUGGACCGGGACAAAGCCAGUUUACCUCUAGACCUGGUGAAUGGCAGAAUAUGGGGGGGCAGGGAAGUUCCCGGAGCUUUUCGUUUUCCUUUGGCGGUACUGGUGGUUCAAGUUCAUUUGGUUUUGGUCUAGAUGAUAUCUUCUCUGACUUUUUUGGCAGUAGUUUUGGAGGAGGACGCCAAUUUGGUGGUUUUAGUGGUUCAACUGGUUCUCAGUCUCAAUCUAGGAGUUCCUCUGGAAACAUCAGAGCCUUAAAUUUACAGGUCUUCAAGAAAGAAAUAGUGGAGAAAGGAAUGACUUGGCUUUUGUUUUUUUAUUCACCCUCCUCGAACAGGGAUGGCUAUGAAUCUGUGAUUGAGGAAGUUGCCAACUCAAUGGAAGGAGCUUUAAAGGUACUUAACUACUGGUCCAUUUUGGUGUGGUCUCCCUAUUUGAUCUUCUGUUGAUCGUUUCAAAUCUUACGAUCCUUUUGCUGUGACAGGUGGGAAGCAUAAACUGUGAAACAGAAGCAUCUUUGUGUAAGGAAUUAGGUGUUCAUCGCCCCAGAUCCCCGAGGAUUUUUGCGUAUUCAUAUAAAGCUGGUGACAAGGGUUCUUUAGUUGAGUACAAUGAGCAUUUGGUUGCAAAGAAUUUAAAAAGCUUUUGUCGAGACCACCUUCCUAGAUUUUCAAAACGGAUCAGCCUCAAUCGUAUUGAGUUUACUUUUGAUGCUAAGGCAAGAUUGCCAAGCGUGUUGCUUCUUUCCACCAAAAAGGAGACGCCCAUCAUUUGGCGUGUUCUCAGUGGCAUGUAUCAUGAACGAUUGAAUUUCUAUGACACAGAGGUAUAUUAUGGUGCUUACUGACUGGGUUUACUCUAGGAAACCCUCCUGUUUAAAAAUGUUUUUUGCCUUGUCAUUCUGAAAUCUUGGAAUUAUUGGAUUCUUUGUUUCUUCAAGGAAAAUAACUUGGUUCUUUCCUACUCUUUAUGAAUGAAUUUAUAAUUGCUAUUGUUAUGUUUAUCUAGGUUCAUGAUGUUUCUGAUCCAGCAGUAAAGAAGCUAGGAGUCGAUGCCCUUCCAGCUAUUGUUGGCUGGUUAUCAAAUGGGGAGAAAGAUGUUCUAAAAACAGGGAUAUCAGUGAAAGAUCAGAAAUCGUCAAUUCAUGAGCUCAGUAAAUUACUUGAUGGUUUUGAAAAAGAGAACAAAAAGGCAGCUUCCGCACGGGCUAGCAAAUCACAUAGUGAUUCAGCGGAGGAGCAGAUACCUCUGUUGACGCGCUCAAAUUUUGAUACUAUAUGUGGGGAGGCAAUUCCUGUUUGCAUUAUAGGUGCUUUCAGGUCUUCGAAUGCAAGGGGGAAGCUGGAAUCCAUAGUAUUAGAUGUAAGUAAUAUCAUCUCUAGUUGAUGAAUUUUUGCAGAAGUUGGAAAUCAGAAGCAGAAUUAUUGUUAUACUUUAUUUUGGAGAUGAACAUGGAGGAUGGUCAUGUUUCUUAAGCAUCAGUCAGAAUCUUCAUAUGUCAUUACUUUUUUAUUAUUUUAUUACAACAAUUGCAUGAGGGGGGAAUCCUAAAGAGUUAAAAGAAAUUCAAGUGCACUAGUUGACGCUUAAGAAAUUAAGUGCUGUAGGACUUCUUAAUUGGUAAAAUACAUGCAAUUCCAGAUUAUUGUUGUGCCAUUGGUUAGAUUUCUUGUGAUAGCAUAAGAAUUUUCAGGGUUGGGGGAAACAAAGGGAAAAAUAAAUAAUAAAAUACAUCCAUUUUUUAGUGGGUUUGGGUUGAGGUUUGUUUUAUGUAUUUUGUUCUCUUAACUACAAAGUCAUGCCCAGUUGAAAAAUUAAGCAUCUGCUCUGUAAACAACCUCGCUUACCAAAUUUGCAAAUUGAUCCAUAACCUUAGUUGCUCCUUAAUUUAAAGGCUUAUCUGAUAGUGUCUACGUGUUUAUGGGAGUUAUCUUUCUUCAGGAAUAUUCUUGAAAUUUUCCUGCGUUUACAUCUUAAAAGUUUGAAAUUCGAUUCACCGACUCUCAUUGUUACAUGCUUUGCACUUUCAGGUCUCUCAGAAGUCACUGUCUCGGCAUCAGUACUCUGCCUCUGGCUCUAGAAAUUCCAUAACUUACGCUCUCUUGGAUGCCGCCAAGCAGUCAUCAUUCCUAAGCGCAUUUGACAAAUCAGGAUUCAAAUCAUUGGGUAAAUUCUUGGUAGCCUAUAAACCCAAGAGGGGAAAGUUUGCAGUUUUUGCAGGUGAAAUGACCCCAGAGGAAGUUGAGAGAUUCAUUGGUUCUGUUCUUAAUGGAGAUGUACAAUUUUCUAAGACACGGCAUAAGCCUUUGAUCAAGUGAGAGAAACAUAAAUGGAUUGUGUUAACGGAAUGUGGUUUAUGAAUGUACAUAGCAGAGAGACUAGAAAGAAAUAUCGAUACAAAUUUUUUAUCUUCUAAACCUUGGCAAUGGUGCAAGUAUCUGGUGGUUUUGAAGGAGAUGCUACCAGGGUUAAUCAAGUGUGUGUUUUAGAAAUUUGAGUAACCGAAAAUUCAACGCAUUGGAGAAUUUUUCCGUGGAACAAUAGAUUUUUCUCAGAUGCACUUGCAUGGCUGUAAGGACUUUGUAAUAUUAUUCAUUUUUCUCUGGUUGAAGGAAAAUUUUUAAUUUCCUUUUUCCGUGUAAAGAGCAGUAGGCAGUUGCUGUGGGGUGGGGGGGAUAUUAUCAAGGGUGAUUGGGUGAUUCCUCUAUAUCUCCAUCCAAAGCUGAAGCCAACUGUACCUACUUAAUUACUUACAGUUUCCCCAAAGUAGUCAAUUUUGAUUUUUGAUUUAGGAAAAAUGAAGAUAUAUUUAAGAUUGUUAGUAAAAUCUGUGUUCGGUGUGAGCUACAUGACAUGUAUUUGUGUGACAUAUAAUAUAUUUAUUUAAGGUGAUGUCUUUAAUUUUUGGGACCUGAUUGACAUAUUUCCUCAAGGUUUACUAAUAUUUACAUGUUUAGUAUUUUAUCUUAAGUCUAUUAAUAUUUAUAAUCCGCCCGCAUUAGUUGAGAGAUAUGACUACUUAAUUUUUAAUUAAAAAUAAAUAAUAAUAAAUUUUCAAGUGGCGUCAUCAUAGGAUCUGUACUCAUUGUAUUUCUAAUAAACAGGGAAAAUUAUCAUUUGUCCAUCCGUCCAAAGUUUUAUUAAUGUUUGAACUUUAAAAAAUUUGAAUUAGUCCUGCAAUCUACUCAAAAUUUACAAAUUAUAUAAAUUUUCACCUUUCCAGUUUCCAUUACUAGUGUUUGAUCAUUUUAUCUCUAAGGUGCAAUUUAAGAAUGGAUGGAAAAUUGAUUUUUUUGCAAUCAUUGGGUGAAUUGUUGCUUUCUGUAUGUGAUGUUAGCAUGUUAAUAUCCAAAUUAUUCUCCGGACAUCAUCUAAAGUUAACGCCUGUUAACUCUGUAAGGUAAAAAAGUAAUACAAUUUAUAAAUAAUGGCUGAACUGUUGAAUGAAUUCAGAAUAUCCAAUAUUUUUUAAUAUUGACGAAAUAUCGAGUGAAUGAAUUAUAUAUUUUUUUCCUACAAGAUUGAAUAAAAAUUUGUAAAAAUAGUCAAGAGUAACCCUACUAGCACUCCUCUAUUUUUCUUAUGAAACCACCUUUUGUUAUGUGCUUAUUAUUUUAUCCUUUGUGUUUUAAUUUGUAUUAAAUCUAAAAUCUUGCUAAUUAAAUCUAAAUAUGAUUUUUCUCUCCACCUCUUUCUCCAUUAAAACCUUUUAAAAUUUAUUUUUUUGAAAAAAAAGUUAAUUGUAAAAGAAUAAGAAUUUGAUCUAAACUAUUUUUUUCACUUUAUUUUCAUAUAAAUCAUAUUUUUUGAAAAUUUUCAUAAAUUACUAAUUUUGUUAGGAUGUUAGGAAACGAUCAGCAUUGUGCGUAUCAUAUUUAUAUUUGAAAUGGAAUGUGAUAAGUGAAAAAGCAUAAACCUAAAAUAAAUGAAAGUUAGUAAUAAUAAAUUAAACUUAUGGGACUCAAAAUAUUGGGUUGCGAUCAACAAUUUUUUGCUACAAAAAGAAGAAACUUGAAUGAUGGGGGGUUGAAGACAGAAAACUGAAAGGGGUUUGCAAUUAAAUAGAGAGACUAGGGUUUAUUGAAGAAAAAACAAACAAAGACUCUGAAAAAUUAAAGUGGAUAAAAACAGAAGAGCGGGUUCAAAGGGAUAAUGCAGCGGUGCUAAUAGCACUACUCAAUAAUCAAUCCAUAUUAUCUCUAAACCUUUAAUAAAACAGAAACCCAAAAUCAACUGAACUGAAAACCCGGCCCAUGAUUAGUACAAUCUGGUGGUGUUAGCGUUUGGCGACGGGUUUUUUAAAAUAAAAGAGACUAAAAGCAAAGCACUGCGCCACCGCCAGCCAACGCGCUGCUUUAGCUUCUGGAAAGUGUCGUUUUAGUAGGUCUUGGUCAAGUAAGCUUCUUCUAUGUCCAUUUUUUAUUUAAGCUUAGUUGCUGUGUACUGUUUUCAUUAUACUCUUUGUAUAUUGAUGUGGGUAUUAGCUGCUAAGCUGUUUCCAUUCAGACAGUACAUCAAACAUGUUCAGUUAAUACCUUCCCGUUCGGUUUCAGCCCUCGCCCAUUUGAGGCUAAUCUGUUCAGAUUCUGAAUUAGAAGAGUCUAGUGUGAAUAACGAGCAUAAUGAUGAAAUUAAAUGUAGCUUUUCUUAUUUAAAUACAAGGGAGGUAGUUGAAAAGUUGUAUAGUCUUAGAAAAGAACCCAAAAUUGCAUUAUCAUUCUUUGAACAGUUAAAAAGGAGUGGGUUUAGUCAUAAUCUUUGUACUUAUGCAGCGAUAGUGAGAAUAUUGUGUUGUUGUGGUUGGCAAAAGAAGUUGGAGUCUAUGUUAUUGGAACUUGUUAGGAAAAAGACUGAUGCAAAUUUUGAGGCUACUGAUUUGAUUGAAGCGCUUUGUGGAGAAGGGUCAACUUUGCUGACACGACUUUCGGAUGCAAUGAUUAAGGCUUAUGUUAGUGUGGGAAUGUUUGAUGAGGGUAUAGAUAUAUUAUUUCAAAUUAAUCGGCGAGGAUUUGUUUGGUCAAUAUGUUCAUGUAACUAUUUCAUGAACCAGUUAGUUGAGUGUGGGAAAGUUGAUAUGGCUUUGGCUGUUUACCAGCAUUUGAAGAGGCUGGGGUUGAGUUUGAAUGAAUACACAUAUGUUAUUGUAAUUAAGGCCCUUUGUAAGAAGGGUAGUAUGCAAGAAGCAGUUGAGGUGUUUCUGGAGAUGGAAAAAGCAGGGGUAACCCCAAAUGCUUUUGCUUACUCGACUUGUAUUGAAGGGCUUUGUAUGAAUGGGAUGCUGGAUUUGGGUUAUGAACUGCUCUUGAAAUGGGAAGAGGCAGACAUUCCUUUGAGUGCCUUUGCUUACAUUGUUGUGAUACGUGGGUUUUGUGAUCAGAAUAAGCUGGAAAAAGCUGAAUGUGUGUUGCUUCACAUGGAAAAACAAGGGGUUGUUCCUGAUGUGUAUGCAUACAGUGCUUUGAUUUCUGGGUACUGCAAAUUUGGGAAGAUAAAUAAAGCUUUGCCUCUUCACCACGAAAUGACAUCAAAGGGUAUUAAAACAAAUUGCGGGGUAUUGAGUGUGAUUUUAAAAGGCUUAUGUCGAAAUGGCAUGGCUUCCGCAGCUAUAAAACAAUUUUUGGAGUUCAAAGAUAUGGGGUUUUUCCUUGACAAGGUUUGUUAUGAUAUAAUAGUGGACUCUUUAUGCAAACUUGGAGAAGUAGAAAAGGCAAUGAUACUGUUCAAGGAGAUGAAGGAUAGGCAGAUAGUUCCAGAUGUUGUCAACUACACAACUAUGAUUUGUGGUUACUGUUUUCAAGGUAAGCUUGGUGAUGCUCUGGAUUUAUUCAAGGAAAUGAAGGAGAUGGGACAUAAACCUGAUACUAUUACUUAUAACAUACUUGCUGGUGCGUUUGCUCAAUAUGGCGCUGUGCAAAAGGCGUUUGAUCUUUUGAAUUAUAUGAAGAGACAUGGUUUGGAACCUAAUUUUGUUACACACAACAUGAUUAUUGAAGGUUUGUGCAUGGGAGGUAGGGUGGAGGAAGCUGAAGCAUUUUUAGACGGUUUAAAAGGGAAGUGUUUAGAGAACUACAGUGCCAUGAUUAAUGGUUACUGUAAAACAGGUCAUACAAAAGAGGCCUUUCAACUAUUUAUGAGGCUGUCUAACCAAGGAGUCUUAGUGAAAAAAAGCUCAUGUAAUAAACUACUUACUAAUCUUCUUAUCCUACGUGAUAACAACAAUGCUCUCAAGUUGUUUAAGACAAUGAUAACUCUGAAUGCUGAACCCAGCAAAAGUAUGUAUGAUAAGCUCAUAGGUGCAUUAUGUCAGGCGGAAGAAAUGGAACAGGCACAAUUAGUGUUUGAUGUUUUAGUUGACAAAGGGUUAACUCCUCAUCUCAUUACCUACACAAUGAUGAUACAUGGUUAUUGCAAAAUAAAUUGUUUGCGUGAAGCUCGUGAUGUUUUCAAUGAUAUGAAGCAGAGAGGGAUCACUCCUGAUGUUGUAACUUAUACAGUUUUAUUUGAUGCUCAUUCAAAAAUAAAUCUAAAAGGUUCUUCUUCCUCGCCAGAUGCCUUGCAAUGUAAAGAAGAUGUGGUGGAUGCUUCAGUUUUUUGGAACGAGAUGAAGGAAAUGGGAAUAAGACCUGAUGUUAUAAGUUACACUGUUUUGAUUGCAAAGCUGUGCAACACACAAAACCUUGAAGAUGGUAUUACAGUCUUCAAUGAAAUAAGUGAUAGAGGACUGGAACCUGAUACUGUCACAUACACAGCCCUUUUAUGUGGCUACCUGGCAAAGGGAGAUCUAGAUAGGGCUAUAGCCCUUGUUGAUGAAAUGUCAGUCAAGGGGAUACAAGGAGAUGAUUACACCAAGUCUUCAUUGGAACGUGGCAUAGAGAAGGCCAGGAUAUUGCAAUAUCGGCAUUAAGCUGUAUGUUCAGUCUACGUGGGUAGAUGGACCAAACUCAUCUGCUGAAUCAGGUGCUUUAACAUAACAGAAUUUGUAUCUGCCAUUAAAUAGAAACACUUAGUGACAUUAAUUAUAGUGAGACCUUCAAGCACCAAGAUUUUCACCUUAAAGGCUCUUUUCAGAUUCAUUUGCACACUGGUCUAUUUUCUUAUUGGAUUCUGCUUUCAACUUAACAGAAUUCAACUUUUAAAAAAUCUUUAUUAGUUUCUUAAAAGGGCUAGCAAUAAAGCAAAAUAGCAUACUUAUUUGGCUACGAGGAUAGUUGUGUUUCCCUUCUGUAUAGUAAACUUACUGUUGGUGUCCUAGAUAAUGAACUUUAAAAAGUACUUUACAGCGUGAUUAUGCUUCAAAUAUGCCAUUGUUUAUGCUUAGUGAUUUACGCUGAUAGUAAAUGCUAUUUUUUAAAAUGCAGACCUCAGAUAACAAUUGCAACAGCAAUAAUAUUCAGUCAUCUGUUCUUCCUUCUGCAGUCGCUUGUAAGGAAUAAUAGGUAGGUGAGUUAUCUUCUUGAGCUAUAUUUAAGUGUUGUUUUUCUUAUCAGAGCCCGGUGGCAUUAGUGCCAUAACAUUAUUUAAUAUGAGUUAUUGAUAUAUGGUAGGAAACAAAGAAGGCUUUGGAUGUCAAAACCUACCCUGUCCAUGGUUUUGGGGCACUCUGGUAUUGAGUAGUUUCCCUGAAAUCUCUGUUUUUCAUCAUACACUGGCUUUCUAUACCUCUUCCAUUAUGUAGAUAGAAUACUGAAACUGCUGAAAUAUUGUUAUUGCAUAAAAAGGCCAAAAAAAAAAAAACCUAUGAAACUGUUUGCAGCAAGUUGGGCUUUUUGCAGUGACCACCUCAGAGAUGUGAAGCUUGUUUGCAUAAUCGUGAAGUACCAGUGUUAGGACUGCUUUGGCUGACUGGAUGUUUUCAUAAAUGCUGGGCAUGAAGUAGUAUCCUAAGAUGAGAGUUUAUCGCGAAAAUGAGGGUUUGGUUGUAUGUAAGUGUGGGUUCAGUUUUGUGUUUGUUGAUGAGAGCAUAGAUUGAGAAAUUAGUCAAUUACUUUUAUUGAAGCUUUUAUUAUCUACAAUGAGGAACUACUUAAAAUAGUUUAAUUAGUAUUUACGUCUGAUGUAGGAAGUAAAAUUGAGUUUUAGAAUGUCAUUAUGCUGAAAAAAAUUGACUGCUGGUGUUAGGAACUAUUAUUAGUUUUCUUAUAACCCAAUAAAAGUAACCGUGGACUAUUAAGAAAAAGCUUCAAUUGGAAAUUUGAUAUCAUGAUUUACCAUUUUUAAAAUUAAUACUGUUAUUAUUUAGUAUUUCUUAGUUUCUUCAAUAUCUUGGAUUUCAGUGUUGAUGCUGGACCUGGACUCUUGUCUCUUGCAGAAGUUCCCGACGGAUCACUGCAGCAUGGAGUUUUCAAGGGCCGUUGAUAAAUGCUUCAUCUAGCUGUGAAGUUAUUCAAUGGCAAAUAGUUGUGGACUGGAACCUUAAAGCCUGCACCAGCGUAACCAGUUUCUGAACACCCAGUAGCUGACAAUUAUUGGUGGACUCCAAGAAUCGGCCAAAGUCGGUGUAAUGACUGGGGAAGUGCAGAGUUGGAACUGCUACAAUAGAUGGUAAAUGCCUAUGGCAAAUGACGAGGCCUCUACUACGCUUCCCUGAGAGUACUGGUUCGAUAUCUUUCGGCUUCCAACCUCGUAAAAAAAUGAACGGCAAGGAGUUCUCUUUGUCAUAAACACUGUAGCUAGUGGGGACAUAAUAUAAUAAAUUACAAAUAUUAAUGUAAAAAGUAUAUUAAUUUGUUAUUUUGAGCUUUUUAUAACUUAAUUUAUUUUUUAUUUAUAAAUUAAAAAGACUUAGUCUCUUAAUCAAGUUAAAUCUACGUGCCCUUUAUAUUUUUGAGUUCAUAUUCAGAUUUAAUUUAUACGAAUUGAGUUUUUAUAAACUCUAAUAUGAAUUGUAUCGAAUCAAAACACAUUUCAUAAUAAUACUUUGAUGAUCCUUUUCUCCCUUUCUAAACAAAUAGUUCAUGAGGAAAUCAGUAUCAAUGAAUCUUGAGCCCUUUUAAGAAUUAGUGGUAAACCAUUAAAAUUCUCGAAAAUGACCAAUGAAAGCACAUAUCCUAGAACUUUCGAAUUUUUUCGGAGCACUUUCCAUUUUAUAUUUCACAUUUCCUAUCGGGUGUUACACGUAUGUGGGUCCCGAUGUAAUACAAUUUAUACCCACCCACGAGAUCGUGAGGGGGGAAUCCGACAGAGAUCUCGUUUGGUUUGGGUUUAGAUCAUGAAUCCAUAAUCGACACGUGAUUUCAUUGUAAGAGCAUCACCGUCAACAUCGCGGGAAGUGGAAACACCUUUAUUAUUAUUUUAACACCAUCCGAUUUGACCUUUUUCCCCUAGGCUAGCGGCGUGAUGUGUGCUAUUUGAAAUUCGACCACCUCUUUGGCUCUUACUUUCUAGUCCUUUGCGCUUGUGAUUACAUUUGAGAGAGCUUUGCUGCCACGCAUUACCGAGAAAAUGUUAAAUAAACUAAUCCAAAAAAAUAAAAUAAAAUCAAUUUUCAAUUAGGGUGUUCCGGUCCGUCUAAGCUUACAGUAGUUUUAUUUGAAAGCGGGACACGAGGGUUGAAACUUGAAUAUGGUUAUCUCUAGAAGUUAAGUUUUUGAAAUAUUCUAUGGCGAAACAAAGAAAAAAAAAACUGACAAUAUCAAACAAGACUGCUACAUGUCGUUACGCAUUGGACCUGGUUGGUUACUAUUACAGGCAACGUCCCAGAAAAAUUAACCUCAGACCACCUGCUUUGACCCGAACGCACUAGCCCCUGCUCGAGUAUUUCCACCUACUUUGUAAUGUUAUCACCGAUAAGCAACGAACAUAACUGAAAAUGGAUGGCUCAAAGACUUUGAGCAAGUGCCUCAUAAGUUAGAUUUACCCACGGAUUGUCGAAUUCACCCGGUGUUUCAUAUUUCCUUACUCAAACCUUAUGUGGGAAACUCCUCCAUUGACGUUUAUUCACAGCCUCCAGGAAGUGUGGAUGGAUAACAAGCCCCUUUCACUACCAAUUGCUAUAUGUGCUGAGCGAAAGAUACUUCGACAAGGUAAAGAAAUUCUACAAAUUUUGGUGCAAUGGUCUGAUAGCUCACUAGAAAAUUCAACUUGGGUUUACUUUGAGGAAUUUCGUAAACUCUAUCCUUGAGGACAAGGUACGCUUUCAAGGAAUGGGGAAUGAUACGACUUGGCCCAUUGCUGUGAAUCAGAUCGAGCUCAAGGAGAUAACAAGGGAAGAACCCAACCUACAAAAAUGGAAGAAACCCAACCCUUGAAUGAGACUCAAGCUAAAGAGCAGCUCAAGACAGGUCCAGCUCGAGCAAGAAAGAAACCAGGAUGGCUCAAAGACUUUGUUAUUUGAAGAAAGUUCAAGAAUAGUACUUUUAACUUCAAUAUUUGAAGAAAGAAACCAGGAUGGCUCGAGCAAGAAAGAAACCAGGAUAGCGUCAAUUUAAUAUUAAUAUUUUUUCCUUACAAGGUAAAAUGCCAAAUUUCCAAAAUAGUACUUUUAACUUCAAUUUUUUUUUUUAUUUUAUAAGAAAUUUCUUAUUUUAUAAGAAAUUUCUUUGUUUCUAAAUACUUUUAACUUCAAUUUUUUUUUUUAUUUUAUAAGAAAUUUCUUUGUUUCUAAAUUAUGUAUGAAAACUAAUUUAUUAGCAUGAUUAUCCAUCAUCAAUUAAACGAACAAAAUAUAUUUAUGCCAAAUGAUGAUUCGCUAGUCUUGUGAGAGAUAAUGAAAGCGGGUCACUACAACUUGUAGUUGGUUCCAUGAUUUUUUUUUUCUUCCAAUCUUGGCGUUUGGUAACCAUUUUCCGUUGACUCCUAUUAAUGUAAAAAUAUUUACCGUUGACUCCUGUAUUGAAUAUAUAAUAAACACAAGUAGAUUUGAGAUACCAUGAAUCCAUACAACAAUUUAAUAAUUCAUUCAUGAAUAUAUUCGGGUUGAAAACUAACAAAUAAGUGGAAAUCUUUUAACAUAAAAUUCACAUGUCAUAUUUUCAUUAGAUGAUUUUAUUAUCUAGUAUAUAUACUUUGGAUUUAAGAAAAAUAUCCGUAUUAUUUACUCUAAAGAACAUCAUGAAAAGACUUUUCAAAUAAUAUUGUUAAAGAGAAAAGAGUACUAUCUCAUUUAAAUAAUUUUUAUUUAAAAAGUUUUUGCAGGCUUCAUUUAAUAUUAUAUUUUUCUAUCUUCUUAUUCUUGAAGAGAGAUAAAGUGUUAUAAUAUAUUGCUAUUAUUUUGGUAGAGAAAUUUUUUUUAUAAAUAUAAUAUAAACUUAUUUUUAUUAGAGUAGUCUUUUAAGAGAUGAUUUAUUUUUUACACUUUUUUGUUUGCCGCAUAAGUAAGCAAAUAAAUAUUUAGAGAAUUAAAUUAAAAGACUCUUGGUUCUGCUCUAAACUUUUUAAAAUAUGUCUAAACGCGACACUGUUUUUAUAAGUUAUUAUAAUGUUAACUUUAUUAAUUAUUUUACUAUUUCAUCCUUUGUCUUCAAGUUCGGAAACAUAAAUAAAAUAAAAUAACUUUUAGUAAACAGAAUUAUUAUUAAAAGUGUAAAAUUAAAAAAAAGUGAAAUUAAAAUUUGUAACAAAUAAAUAUUAGUAAAAAAAAUACAAAAACAAUCAUUUUCAAAUUUCUCAUCUCAUCCGUCUCAUGGUAAACAAUACAAGAACAAUCAUCCUCAACUUAUUAUAAUUUAUAAUAUUUCCAUUUAUUUUAUAUAGUAAUUGUGUAAUUGUAAAAGAAUAGCUUCUCUCUUUAUUUUGUACAUGGUUAGAAUGAAUAAAAUCAUGACUUUGUUGUUUAAUCAUAUAAUAUUUUUGAACAAAGAAGAGCAAAAGAUCAAUCAUGAUUUUAACACUGAAAAUUCCUCAUUGAAAAACGUUGUCCACGACCGAGUUACUGAUAACGGCCGACCUUCCGCCCUCACUCUCUCACACUAGCCAAGUGGCACAAUGGAAAAGAAAAGUUGGCAUCGGCUAGAGGUUUCAAGAGUCAUUGUGGAUUGGCCGACAGCUCGUAUGCACCUUAGGAAAGUAGGAGAAAUUCUAAAAUACUCCUGAUAUAUUACAAUCAAUUGAUGUAUGCAUGUCAUGUGUAGUUGAAUUUAAUAUAACUACCACUUACAUGAUGAUUUUUUAAACUAAAUGCACACAUGUCAUAACAUCAUUUACUUAUUAUAUGACUGACGUGGUACCUCUAAUGUAUUCUAGAAUUUCUCGCGUAAGUAGACGCGACAUGCGUGAUGCGUGGAUAACUCGAAUCAACAAUCAAUCAAUUUAUUGUUCCGCAAGUCUUACUCAAUUGAGAAGACUAGUCCACGCAUAUAGUGAAGUCGCUAGCAGAAAAGAAUAGGAUAAUAAAAGACGAAAGAAUACUUUGAGAAUGCACUAUAUUUCCAUUUCUUUUUAACUUGAAUAUUUAUUAUCGUUUACAUGACUUGACAGGCUUGUUAUAUUAUUUUAUUUAGCAAUCACAUGGUCAUUGUCUGCACUACACUUUGUCUAGUAUUUCUGAGUGCUAGCUGAGUCACAAGUCACCUUAUCAUGUUUGUUGAGCUUGCCUGUCUUGCUUGAUAUGCUUUGUUCUAACACCAGCUGUUUCCUUGGAACCAACUCUCAAAGACUCUUACUACUUUUAUAAGGAAGUCAACCUCUCGAUUGUAAGAUAAAAUUUUACGUGGAUAUGAAGGCAGACACGAGGGGACACAAUCCUUUUUUGAAUCGUGAUUGAGAGAAAUUUUAGAAUACAUCUGUUGUACCAUAUUAACCAUACAACAAGCAAAUAAUGCAAUAACACGUGUAUUUAUUUUGUAAACUAUUACUUAGUGGUAGUUGUAUUAAAGUCAAUUACACGUCAUACAUGCAUUAAUUAGUUGUAAUACAAUAUGUAUAUUCUAAAAUUUAUCAAUGAUUGGAUACAUUAAAAGUUAUUGGCCCGCAAAAGGGAAAUGUCCUGCUCAAUUAGAUGUUAAUAUGGCUAAUGUAUUUUUGGAAGCAAUGAAAGCUCUUCCGGCAAAGCAACUGCACUAGCUCUAUUUACUCUAAACCGUAUAUUGGUCGCUGAUCUCUCAUUGCUCUAGAUAUAUAAUGGGUUUUAAAAUUUUGCUUGGUUUCGUUUCUUACAUGCUUCUGAGUAUCAUUCGUCUUACCUCCGGUCAGACAUGCUACGAUACAGGAAACUUCACCACUAAUAGUACCUACGGUAAGAAUCGGGACCUGUUUCUCUCAUCUCUUGCUUCUACCGUAACCGCGAACAAGGGUUUCUACACUGCCACCAUUGGCCAGAUUCCCGACGAAGUUUACGGUCUUGCACUCUGCAGAGGAGAUUCUUCUCCAGAAUCAUGUGCCAGCUGCCUGAAUUUCACAGUUCUUGAUAUGAUGAAGAACUGUCCGAACCAAAAAGAAGCAAUUUCAUGGGAAGGAAUGGAUUUUCCUUGCGUUGUCCGCUAUUCAAGCCGCUCUUUCUUUGGAAAACUAGAGCUGAAACCCACAGAAAUCGCCCAUAAUGUAAAUAAUAUCACUUCAAGUUUGACACAGUUUGAUCGGAUCUGGAGGAGUUUAAUGGAUCGCGUACUGGCAAAAGCUUCUUUGGGCACUUCCAAGCUCAAAUUUGCAACUGAUGAGGCAAAUUUGACAAGCUCUGAAACGAUAUAUGCACUAAUGCAGUGCACUCCAGAUAUAUCCCAGAGUGACUGUGAAUUUUGUCUACGUCAAAGUAUGGCUGAUGUGCAGAGUUGCUGUUAUGGGAAGAAAGGAAGUUAUAUUAUGGGACCCAGCUGUAUAUUUCGCUGGGAAAUGUAUCCAUUCUAUGGAGCUACUGCUGAUUCUUUAUCGCCAUCUCCUCUGAGUCCACCCAGUACUACUACUGAUACGACAAUCGCCAAAGGUAUUUUCACGCCCGCCGCCGCUGUUAGUAUCUCACUAAUAUCCAAUCUCGACACGAGUUAACAGUCGCGCAUAUCUUUAUGAUUUAUUUUUGCAGACAAAGGCGGCAAUAGCAUUUCAUCUGGAACUGUCGUAAUCAUUGUUGUUUCUACGAGUACUUUCAUCAUUGCACUUGUUGCUUUGAUCACUUGUGUCUUUCUACGAAGGAGGAAGAAGAAGCAGAAGCAGAAUCUCAGAAAAGGUUAGUUAAUUAUGUGUUUUCUCCCCUGUUAUUAAAAGGUAAAAUUUUACAUAUGCUACAACCAAUAAAACGACUUCCACCGAAGCAAAGAAACUAAUAUGCUGUCAUUAGAAGUUGCCCGUUGUGUUCUUCUUUAAUAAAGAUUUUUUUUGAAAUUGUUAUUAAUUUUGUACAAAUCUAUAUGCUAACUUAUCACUAUUUUGAAGCCGAUGAAAUCAAUACUGUGGAAUCCUUGCAAUUUGACUUCAGCACCAUCAGAGAUGCAACAAAUAACUUCUCCACAGAUAAUAAGCUUGGACAAGGUGGAUUUGGUGCUGUUUACAAGGUACUUGAACCAUUACAUGAACGUCGAAAAUAAUACUGAUCGUUAGUGCAAAUCAUUUGGCACUUACCCUGUUUUGUUUUGUUGGUAAAAUGAUUUCAGGGAAGGCUUUCACACGGACAGGAAAUAGCAGUAAAGAGGCUGUCUAAAAAUUCGGUUCAAGGAGAACUAGAAUUUAAAAACGAGGUCCUAUUGGUGGCCAGGCUUCAACAUAGAAAUUUGGUUAGGCUUCUAGGUUUCUCCUUUGAAGGAACCGAAAGGCUUCUCAUCUAUGAGUUUGUGCCUAAUUCAAGCGUAGAUAAAUUUAUAUUUGGUAAUGGUUGCACGUUUCCUUUUAAGCUUUUAAAGAUAUUAUUCCAGUUAUCCUAAUUCACUCAUAUUGCACUUUGUUGUUUAGAUGCUUAUAUAAUAAUUAAAAUGAUCUCGUUAAGGCAGAUAUCAUGAAGGACCCUAUUAAUCCCCACUGAAAUUGAUAGCAUCUAUACAUAAUUAAAUUCUCUUGACAUCGAUGCAAAUUUUCAAUGCAUCAAAUGUUGCUAUUCUUGUUUGUGUAAUAUCUCCUGUAGCCUGCUGUUUAUUACCCUUUUGCAACCAAAAUUAUAAGUUUUGUGGCUUUUGUAAAUUGGUAGAUGCAAUCAAGCGCGUGCAACUAGAUUGGGAAACUCGACACAAAAUCAUUGGGGGUAUAGCUCGAGGAAUUCUUUACCUUCACGAAGAUUCAAGGUUACGGAUCAUUCAUCGUGACCUCAAAGCAAGUAAUAUUCUUUUAGACGCAGACAUGAUUCCAAAAAUUUCAGACUUUGGAAUGGCAAGGUUGUUUGAAAUGGAUCAAACUCAAGGCGAUACAAGUAGAAUUGUCGGGACCUUGUAAGUAUACGGAGAUUAACUUCAGAUUGUUCAUUUUAUGUUUGAAGUCUAAAAUUAUAUUGACAAUUUUUUUUUUAUUAUUUUCAGUGGUUACAUGGCUCCAGAAUAUGUAACUCGAGGACACUUCUCCAUAAAAUCUGAUGUUUUUAGCUUUGGUGUGUUAGUCUUGGAAAUCAUCAGUGGUCAAAAGAAUAAUAGUUUCCGUAUUGGAGAGGAGGCAGAGGACUUACUGACUUACGUAAGUAAUAAUCAUCAUAUAUUAUACGUAAGUCUGAAAUGUUAAGAGAUCAAACAAAACAUUUAACGCCGCCGUUGUAUUUUUCUCUAGGCAUGGAAAAAUUGGAACGAAGGAACAGCUUUAAAUCUGAUAGAUCCCACACUGAGGAACGGUUCCAGUAGUGAAAUAAUGAGAUGCGUCCACAUCGGAUUGCUAUGUGUUCAAGAAAAUGUUGCAAAUAGACCAACCAUGGCUUCAGUUGUUGUCAUGCUUAAUAGCAGCUCUCUCUCCCUGCCACUACCUUCGCAGCCUGCAUUUUUUAUGCACUCUACAAUGGAGCAGGAUAAUUUGGAAUUCACCUCAUCUGAUCAAUCUAAAAGCGGUUCCAUUCAUUUUACAGUCAAUGAAGUUACAAUUAGUGAGCUAGACCCUCGCUAACUUUCAGGGACAUAGGCUCUAUCUUUAAGCAAGUUUGUACUAUGAUAUUUUGUUGUAUGAGAUGAAUUUGGAUAGAUGCUAAUCUUUUGAAGAUUUUGUGUGAUUGCGUAUUGUUAAUUACUUAUAGAAGAUAAUUGAGAAUUACUUACAUAUAUAUUCUUAUCAAAUUAACUAAACAUCACAACUUUGUAUGUAACAAGAGUAGUUUAAAGAUUAUAUCAUCAAAUCAAUGUAAAUCUUGUCCCAUAAAUGACUUUGAUUUUUGUCUUCAACAAAAAAUUAAUACAAAGUUCAAAAAAUAUCUAAAGUGGAAGAUUGAUUCCAUGGCAACUAUUCAUUCCUUUGUUCAAGUUGAAUGUUAACAAAAACCGUGGCCAAAAAUCACAUACAAUUUCUUUAAUCUUUACUUUGUUUCAAGCACUCCCAUAACAAUCGCCGUGUGUUUCGUUAAAAGAUUUUUAUUAGUCUUGAAAAUCAGUGAAUAUAAAAGAUUUUAUAUUCGAGCUAACUAACUAAAAAAAUAAUAAUAAUUAUAAAACAGGGAAAAUAACGUAGCAGAUAAGAUUAGCUGCAGUAUGCUCAGCAUGUUUACCUAACGGCAACUAAUGCUGAGCUGGCACUUAAGCAUACCAACAGCGGACAUGGUUGGCACUUGGUCAAACCCACGGUGACCUAGCUUCCUUGACACGUAUUAAUAGUACGAAAAUGCGACUGAAUGCUGAUAAAUUAAUUAAAAAUAAAUAAAAUGUUGACACGAGUAGACUUUCGGUUCGCGAAGUCAAGUCAAGCCAACUAAUUUUUCACUCGAGUCAUCUCAAAAAAAAAAAAAAAACAAAAACAAAAAUUUUCAGUUGAUCAAGUCUUUUGACACCCCUUUAAAUCCCAUAUAAAACUCAUCUUUAACUGAAAAUUAUUUAAAUAAAUAAAGAUAAAUUCAUUUAUUUUUUAUUUUGAAUUAAAAUUCAAUCAAGCACAUAUACAAAUUAUUUUUUAACAAUUUUUACACCACUCUAUUUCAUAAUUUAUAUUUAUAUUUGAUAUUUUAAUUAAAAAUAUUUUUUGAGAAACUUUUAAGAAUAUAAAAUUAUGAAAAGAUAUUAUAUAACAAAAAAAAAACUUAAAAUUUUAGUAUUUAUAUGCAUUUAUAAUUAAAGGCUCUAAAAAAAUAUUAUUUUCAAGGUGAAAUUUAAUGAAAAGAUUAAUGAUUUUAGUUUAUGGAAUAGUAUUUUAUAAAUUAAGUUGAGAAUACUUUAGGGAAUAAAAUCAAAAGGGACGAUAUAAGGCUUUUUGGGAGUGUUAAAAGCUCCACUAUUUUCAGUUUACUCAAGGAAAACACGAAGCCCACCCUAGGAGAGCCCAAUUGGCCCAAUUAGCCAUUGCCAACCAGCAUGCGCAUAUAAUAAGCAAGCUGCCCCUCUAAAUUGGAAAACUUUUUUUUUUUUUUUUUGUUUCUGCCCCUCAAUUCUCUUGAGUUUAGAUCAUGAUAAAUUCUACCGAGGCGAAGCCAAGAUUUUUUUUUUUUAAGUAUGCUAUAAUUAAUUUUAGUCAAUGUAAUAAUUACGACAUUUUUUAUUUAAAAAAAAAACUAAACGUCAAUUAUACAUUUAUAAGAAAUAUCUACUACAAAAAUGAUACAUGAAAUGUAUCCAAUAGAAUAACUUGUAUCCUAUACCUAAAAAAAAAAAGAAAAAAGGACAAACACACCCCCCAACGUUUAGACAAAGGGAUAAAAACUCCCCUAAAGUUUCAAAAAAGAUAUUUAUACCCCCAUUCACUAACGGAAACCAUUACUUUUAACGGAAAUAGUAAUUUUAAUGUAUAAUUACCAUUAUACCCUUAUAGCAUAUAAAAAUAAUUAUUGAUUGUCCAUUUUAAGUCUUUUGACACCCCUUUAAAUCCCAUAUAAAACUCAUCUUUAACUGAAAAUUAUUUAAAUAAAUAAAGAUAAAUUCAUUUAUUUUUUAUUUUGAAUUAAAAUUCAAUCAAGCACAUAUACAAAUUAUUUUUUAACAAUUUUUACACCACUCUAUUUCAUAAUUUAUAUUUAUAUUUGAUAUUUUAAUUAAAAAUAUUUUUUGAGAAACUUUUAAGAAUAUAAAAUUAUGAAAAGAUAUUAUAUAACAAAAAAAAAACUUAAAAUUUUAGUAUUUAUAUGCAUUUAUAAUUAAAGGCUCUAAAAAAAUAUUAUUUUCAAGGUGAAAUUUAAUGAAAAGAUUAAUGAUUUUAGUUUAUGGAAUAGUAUUUUAUAAAUUAAGUUGAGAAUACUUUAGGGAAUAAAAUCAAAAGGGACGAUAUAAGGCUUUUUGGGAGUGUUAAAAGCUCCACUAUUUUCAGUUUACUCAAGGAAAACACGAAGCCCACCCUAGGAGAGCCCAAUUGGCCCAAUUAGCCAUUGCCAACCAGCAUGCGCAUAUAAUAAGCAAGCUGCCCCUCUAAAUUGGAAAACUUUUUUUUUUUUUUUUUGUUUCUGCCCCUCAAUUCUCUUGAGUUUAGAUCAUGAUAAAUUCUACCGAGGCGAAGCCAAGAUUUUUUUUUUUUAAGUAUGCUAUAAUUAAUUUUAGUCAAUGUAAUAAUUACGACAUUUUUUAUUUAAAAAAAAAACUAAACGUCAAUUAUACAUUUAUAAGAAAUAUCUACUACAAAAAUGAUACAUGAAAUGUAUCCAAUAGAAUAACUUGUAUCCUAUACCUAAAAAAAAAAAGAAAAAAGGACAAACACACCCCCCAACGUUUAGACAAAGGGAUAAAAACUCCCCUAAAGUUUCAAAAAAGAUAUUUAUACCCCCAUUCACUAACGGAAACCAUUACUUUUAACGGAAAUAGUAAUUUUAAUGUAUAAUUACCAUUAUACCCUUAUAGCAUAUAAAAAUAAUUAUUGAUUGUCCAUUUUACCCAUAUUGUUAAUAAAAUUACAAACAUAUCCUUAUUGUCCAAUUCUUCUAUUUAAAUUGUCAAAAUUUCUCUUCAAAACAAACAAAUUUAAUUAUUAUUCAAGAAUAAAAAUAAAUAAGUUUAAAUUUUUGUCAAAUGUAUUCUUCAAAUUAAAUAAAUUUAAUUAUUAGUUAUUAAUGCCAUAAAAAAUAAUAAUUUCAUUAUUAUUUUCCACAAUUGCAUAUAGAGUAAUUUAUUGUUUCCAUAUAUUGUAUAAUAACAUGAUUAGUUGAAGAAUCUGACUUAUUUCCAUGCAUCGGUAAAUUUAAUCAUUACUCAAAGAAUAAAAAUAAAUAAAUUUAUUUUUUUGUUAAAUUUUUUCUUCAAAUCAAAUAAAUUUAAUCAAUACUCAAAAAUAAAAAUAAAUAACACGAGUCAUAUGCCAUAAAAAUAAUAAUUCUCCACAUGUCAACCGAAAAAAAAAAUGGUUACAACAAUAAUCACAAAAUCUUAAUAGUAGUAAAUAUUGUAUCAAAUUGGACUAAUAAACAUUACAAUAAUAACCAUAAUAUCUAUAAAAAAAAUCUGUUCACAAAUUUGUAUGACAACUCUGACUAUUAGCCUGUGGACUUCCUCUCAUAACUUGUGUGGUUGUUGCUGCACAAUUAAUAUAUAAAUAUUAGUAUAUAAACUUUAUUUUUUCAUAUAACAACCAAAAGAUAAAAAAGUAGGAUUACCUGAGGGGUGUUGAGUGGAAUCCAGUGGCACAUUUUUGCAUACUCUUUUAUUAUGGCCGAAAUUGGUACAAUUACCACAUCUUUGCUUGGUCUUUCUUUCCCCUUGUUCCCCUGGCUCUCUUCUUCUUACUAUUUUAGGCCUACCAACUCUUGUUUUGACAUAUGGAAGUAACACUUUUAAACCUUCAACAACAGCCCAUGGACUUUGAUCUGGAAGUGGAUGUAUGAUACUUGCAUAUGUGGCCAAAUAUGCUGCCACUGUCAGUUUUUUGUCCAUAUAAUCAGCAGGAUCCUCAUGUAUUUGAGCAAUACAUGGCAUGAUAUGUUUACAUAGUAUCCCACAAAUUUAAUAGACACCACAAUCACAAGUUUUAUUCUACAAAUUAACUAAAAAUGUUUUAUUAUUCACAUCCAUUACCUCAAAUUCAUACUCACUAGCCAUAAUCACCCUUACAAAUCUUCCUUCUUACCUAGAAACAUUCAACUUUCUCCUCACGAUUGGAGGUAGCUUCCCAAUCUAUUUUCUUGCAUUAGAAUGCCUUUUAUACAAUCUUUUCAUAACUUUCUUCCUAAUGAAUUCCAUAAGUGUCAACACAGGCUUGCCUCUGCAUUCAUUUAACCAGCUGUUCCAUGACUCAAAUAAGUUGUUGGUUACAUGAUCAACUUUUACAUCAUCAGGAAAUGCAUGUUUGGCCCACUGUUUCUUGUCAAUCUUGAUCAAAUAAUCAUAAGCAGCUUGUGUGUCUUUUUUAGCUGUUUUUAUUUUAUUCAUGUUGUCUUCCCAUUCAUCUGCACUAGUGGCUCUUGCUGCUGCCCAAAAUAGGUUUCUGUAGAUGAUAUCAGGAUGAUUACUUCUUAAGUUAGCAAAUAUAUGUCUGGCACAAUGCCUCACUGUUGCACCAUGCCAAUAUGCUUCUAAGCCUACCAAUAUUCCUUUUUGCCUAUCUGUCAUAAACGUCACUUGACUCUAAUUCUCUAUGUUCAAACACUCACUCAAUAUUGCCAAAAAACCAUUUCCAACUUCUAGCACAUUCUGAUUUGCAAAUACAAACAAUAAUUGGAAAAAUUCCACUGUUUGCAUCUAAUGCCACAGCUGACAAUAGCACACCUCCAAAAGGCCCUUUUAAAUGACAACCAUCCAAUCCAAUAAACCACCUACAUCCAUUGAUGAAUCCAUUCUUCAAACCAGCAAAGCUAAACAUAAACCUCUGAAACUUCAAAGCGGGUCUUCUAUCUUUAUCAAAACUAGGCACAAAUUUCAUCUUUACUAACACAUCGAGAUUUCUCUGUUUAAGUAUUUGGGCAUAAUCCCUUAGCCUCGGAUAAGAAUGUACAUAGUUCCCAUUUAAUUUAUCCAUUGCUCUUUUUUUGGCCCUAUACAAUUUCUUCAUGCUUGCUUUAGUCCCGAAAUUGGAAAUCAACAUCUUUAAUUGCCUUCACAGGCAUUUUUGGGUUAUUCUUCAAAGUUCCCUCAAACUGAGAGGCUAUCCAUUUAUAUGAUGCCUCUUUGCUCUCUAACACUCCAUGACACUCAUGUACAUCAUUUAGCUUUUGAAUUUUGAAUUUUAUCCCAGAUUCUACUUGUGCUGCAUAAAUAAACCACAGAUAACCCUCAUUCGAGCACUUUGCUCUCAACAUUCUCUUCUCAUUCUUGAUCUUGUUAAGAUCAAACCCAUGCUUAAGAACAUAGUUUUGAAGUACUCUUCUGAAAUGUUGGACAUUGUCAAACUCUUGCCCAACAAUAAAUCCAAUCAUUUCAUUAUAGGUUAAAUCUUGAAUAAUGAAAUGAAAGCUCAUCUUCAGAUUCUGAAAGCAGGCCAUGUUCUCUAUCUUCUGACUCACAAUUGGAAAGAAUUCUAUCUCCUUCUUCACUAUCUUCACAAUCCACUUCUUCACCGCCUUCAAUAUGCCCAACAUCCACUCCAUCGUCAUCCCAAUUUAAUUCAUAUGCCGGUUUUGAAUCGUCAAACAUGCUUAAUAAUGCUUCUUCGUUUGGUAGUAUCUCCUUUGUUCUAGAGGGUAGAGGCUAGAGGCCAGGCAAUUGUUCAACUUUUAAUUUUCAUUCAACCAAUAAUGAUGAGAAAUACAAGGAAAAAAAAUGUGUCGUGUUAAGCUCCCAAAUAAACUCAAAGUUGGCAUCCCACGUCCAGUUAUUGAUAGCAAGGUUUAGGUUUUUUAAAAGUUCAUUUAAAUUUAGACGGAUUUGGGCAGUGCUUGAGCUAGGCUUUCUAUUAAUUUUAAAAUAAACUUUUAGUAAAAUUAAAAAAAAUUGAAUGAAAAAUAAUUAUUCAAUACAUAAUAGAAUAAUAAUUUAAUACACAGAAUAUUAAUAACAUAACAUAAUAAAUUAUAAAUAUUAAUGUAAAAAGUAUAUUAAUUUACUAUUUUGAGCUUUUUUUAACUUAAUUUAUUUUUUAUUUAUAAAUUAAAAAGACUUAGACUUUUAAUCAAGUUCAAUCUAUGCGGAUUUUAUAUUCUUGAGUCCAUAUUUAGAUCUAAUUUAUACUAAUUGAGUUUUUAUAAACCCUAAUAUGAAUUGUAUCGUAUCAAAACACAUUCCAUAAUAAUAUUUUGAAUUUUGAUGAUCCUUUUCUCCCUUUCUAAACAAAUAGUUCUUGAGGAAAUCAGUAUCAAUGAAUCUUGAACCCUUUGAAGAAUUAGUGGUAAACCAUUAAAAUUCUCGAAAAUGACCAAUGAAAGCACAUAUCCUAGAACUUUCGAAUUUUUUCGGAGCACUUUCCAUUUUAUAUUUUACAUUUCCUAUCAGGUGUUACACGCGUGUGGGUCCCGAUGUAAUACAAUUUAUACCCACCCACAAGAUCGUGAGUUGGGAAUCCAACAGAGAUCUCGUUUGGUUUGGGUUUAGAUCUUGAAUGCAUAAUCGACACGUGAUUUCAUCGUAAGAGCAUCACCGUCAACAUCAUGGAAAGCGGAAACACCUUUAUCAUUUUUAACACCUUCCGAUUUGACCUUUUUUUCCCCAAGCGGCGUGACGUGUGCUAUUUGAAAUUCGACCACCUCUUUGGCUGAUUGGCUCUUACUUUCAAGUCCUUUGUGCUUGUGAUUACAUUUGUGAGAGCUUUGCUGCCACGCAUUACCGAGAAAAUGUUAAAUAAACUAAUCCAAAAAAAUAAAAUAAAAAAGUUUUAUAUUUCAAUUUUCAAUUAGGGUGUUCCGGUCCGUCUAAGCUUACAGUAGUUUUAUUUGACAUUUUACCACCUUUUUUUUUUUGGUUGCAUAUUAUUAAUUUUUCGUUAAAAUUUUUAAGUUGUUUAUCGCAUAUUUCAAUAAAGAGUUUGUUUUAGUCAGACCCUAAAUUAAGAGGUCGGUCAGGCGCACCAACCCCAUUACUCGUACGACGAUAAAGAGUAAAAUUUUUAGGCUCGCGAGAAAAAUUAAACUUAAAAUCUCAAUACAAUAAAGUGUCAGAUCCCAAACCUUCAAUCAAUUAAACUACCCUUUACGAGAAAGGUCAUAAACAUAAUUUCACACACACAUAUAUAUAGCCAAAUAAGAUCGAUAAAAAUGGCAUGGUAGUUUCUACUCCCACGAGCUUAUAACCAGCAGCAGCAGCAGCAUUGAUAAAUUAAAAAAAAAAAAAAACCCCAAAUAAUGAUAGCUUCAGAUUUACUAAUCUUCAUCUGACCAAUUGAAUCGUUGGAUUGUUUAUCCAGUCGUUUACAUUUUUUGAGUUUUACAUUUUACUCUUGAAGAAAAGAGAUCGUAGGAGAGCUUGUUGACCGAAGCAUGGCAUUGGGCCGUACGGUUAGCGUUGGGCGCGAGUCAAAGGAAAGCAGCCUUAUUUCUUGUCUCUUGACUUGUCCUAAUUAGUAAUUUCGGCAGCAGUGGUUUUGUAGCGGCGAUCCUCACCGACAAUUACGGGCUUCGUGUGCAUGCAACCCACAUGGCGCAUGGUUCGUUCUGCCCCCUCUAUGUCAGAAAAUUAUAAUUUUGGGAUCGGGAUCUUAACUUACCAUCAGCAAAACCAAAAUCAAAAUCAGUGGUCUAAACUUACAACUUGCUUCUGACUUCGAACGGCGACGUUAAGAGCUUUAUUGGGCAAAUGGCCAAAUGGGAUUGUUAUUUAUUUAUUUAUUUAUUUAUUCAAAUCACGAAACGAGGUUCAAAAACCAUGGUACAUCUGGACUGUUGACGCGUUUGACUUGGACCCUUUUCUAUUUGCAUUUGGUUUUCGCUAGAAUCUUUACAAUUUUGAACCGCAAGAAUAGCUUCUAAUUAUUGAUCAAGUUGUAAUCAAAUAAUGAUGAUUUAUUGGUUGAUGUAUUCUAUUUGCAUUUGGUUUUGGCAAGAAUCUUUGCAAUUUUGAAUCGCAAGAAUAGCUUCUAAUUUUUUUUUAUGAAGUUGUAGUCAAACUUGAGACCCAAGGAAAAAAAAAAUUGUGCCAAAAAUGGAAUGACGUAGAGGAUACAGGAACCUUAUAUAUAUAUAUAAGAGAAAGUUUAUGAUACAUGUGAGGUAAUAAAAGUCGAAUUUUAUGGUAAUAGCUCGAUUCCAUUUAAUUUUAAUUAAUUAAAAUAUUUUCUUAUAGGGCCUACCAAAAUAGUUUUUUUGAAGUUUUAAUAAUUUUCUAGUACUUCCCAUUCGAAUCCAACAUGCUCACUUUCUAGUAAACCCUUAAAAAAUAAUAAUUUUUUUUAAAAAAAACUUUCCUCGUACAGGAGAAAACCAUUGACUAGGAUAAAAUAACACUUACACCCCCCUAAUUUAUUGCCCUUCACAAAAUCGCAUUAGUGGAGCCCGGUAAAAAGAUAAUAGGACCUAUGAUACGAAAAUGAAUAAACUAUUUGCAAAAGCGUAAAUAUCUAGGGCCUCAAUUAUCAAUUUCUUAUUCCCCAAACAAAAUCUUUCCCUCGAAACCGCCCCUGGUUUCAUGAUACAUAGAUUCAUAGCAGUAACAUUCCGUUGCUUGCUCCCAGUCACAAACUCACUAUAAAAUCUCUCUGGCAAACGCCAAUUUCAUUCGUUCAUCGAACACUUGUCACACUCUAGAAGUUCAAAAAAAAAAAAAAACAUUUCUCAAAGACACUUUUCGGAAACACAUUAACAAACGGACAAUUCUUCGUCUCCGGCCCUUCAAUCAAUCAUGGACACUAAAAUUGGAUCACUCGACACCUGCAAGCCCCCAUGCAGCGACUUAGCCAGCCCGCCAAACGGUGCCGUUUCAACAAUCCAAUCCUCCGUUCCCGCUACUCCACUCGUCAACCCGUCCGAGUCGACCCUCGGCCGCCACCUCGCUCGCCGGCUCGUCCAAAUCGGCGCCACCGACGUCUUCUCGGUCCCCGGCGACUUCAACUUGACGCUUCUCGACCACCUGAUAGCCGAGCCCGGGCUCAACUUGAUCGGUUGCUGUAACGAGCUGAAUGCCGGAUACGCUGCCGAUGGGUACGCUCGCUCGCGUGGGGUCGGCGCCUGUGUCGUGACCUUCACCGUUGGUGGGCUUAGCGUGCUUAACGCUAUCGCCGGUGCUUACAGUGAAAAUCUGCCGUUGAUUUGCAUCGUUGGUGGCCCAAACUCCAAUGAUUACGGAACCAACAGGAUCCUUCAUCAUACCAUUGGCUUGCCUGAUUUUAGCCAAGAACUCAGAUGCUUUCAGACUGUCACCUGUUAUCAGGUAACGAUAGUAAUAAUUUAUUUAAAAAAAAAGCUUUCUUUCUUUAUUUUUAUAACUUAAUAACUGAAAAGUUUCCUUUUUUUUUGUUUUUAAAAAAAAGAUCAAGCAUUGAUAUUAUUAAUAUAUAAGCUUGACUGGUUUUUGAUGAUGGGUAUGAUAUUUUUGAUAGGCUGUGGUGAAUAACUUGGAGGAUGCACAUGAGUUGAUUGAUACGGCAGUAUCAACUGCUUUGAAAGAAAGCAAGCCUGUUUAUAUCAGCGUUGCUUGUAACUUGCCUGCGAUUCCUCAUCCUACUUUU